This 429-nucleotide ribosomal RNA is filed under the name bacterium. Its description in RNAcentral is "partial 16S ribosomal RNA". It matches the Rfam family "Bacterial small subunit ribosomal RNA", at positions 355 to 776 of the family's 1533-position model. The record is from RNAcentral.
UAGGGAAUCUUCGGCAAUGGGGGCAACCCUGACCGAGCAACGCCGCGUGAGUGAAGAAGGUUUUCGGAUCGUAAAGCUCUGUUGUAAGAGAAGAACGUGUGUGAGAGUGGAAAUUUCACACAGUGACGGUAACUUACCAGAAAGGGACGGCUAACUACGUGCCAGCAGCCGCGGUAAUACGUAGGUCCCGAGCGUUGUCCGGAUUUAUUGGGCGUAAAGCGAGCGCAGGCGGUUUAAUAAGUCUGAAGUUAAAGGCAGUGGCUUAACCAUUGUUCGCUUUGGAAACUGUUAAACUUGAGUGCAGAAGGGGAGAGUGGAAUUCCAUGUGUAGCGGAGAAAUGCGUAGAUAUAUGGAGGAACACCGGUGGCGAAAGCGGCUCUCUGGUCUGUAACUGACGCUGAGGCUCGAAAGCGUGGGGAGCAAACAGG